UACGGAGGGGGCAAGCGUUAUUCGGAAUUAUUGGGCGUAAAGGGCGCGUAGGCGGCUAGAUGUGUCAAAGGUGAAAUCCCUCGGCUCAACUGAGGAACUGCCUUUGAAACUGUCUGGCUUGAGGCCGGGAGAGGGUAGCGGAAUUCCCAGUGUAGCGGUGAAAUGCGUAGAUAUUGGGAGGAACACCAGUGGCGAAGGCGGCUACCUGGACCGGUUCUGACGCUGAGGCGCGAAAGCGUGGGUAGCAAACAGG
RNAcentral lists this ribosomal RNA (253 nucleotides) under uncultured bacterium. RNAcentral describes it as "partial 16S ribosomal RNA". It matches the Rfam family "Bacterial small subunit ribosomal RNA", at positions 524 to 776 of the family's 1533-position model. RNAcentral also lists the same sequence under 1 other name. The record is from RNAcentral.